RNAcentral lists this ribosomal RNA (465 nucleotides) under uncultured bacterium. RNAcentral describes it as "partial 16S ribosomal RNA". It matches the Rfam family "Bacterial small subunit ribosomal RNA", at positions 28 to 507 of the family's 1533-position model. The record is from RNAcentral.
GACGAACGCUGGCGGCGUGCUUAACACAUGCAAGUCGUACGGUAAGGCCCUUUCGGGGGUACACGAGUGGCGAACGGGUGAGUAACACGUGAGUAACCUACCCACAACUUUGGGAUAACGCUAGGAAACUGGUGCUAAUACUGGAUAUGUGCUCCUGCUGCAUGGUGGGGGUUGGAAAGCUCCGGCGGUUGUGGAUGGACUCGCGGCCUAUCAGCUUGUUGGUGGGGUAGUGGCCUACCAAGGCGGCGACGGGUAGCCGGCCUGAGAGGGUGACCGGCCACAUUGGGACUGAGAUACGGCCCAGACUCCUACGGGAGGCAGCAGUGGGGAAUAUUGCACAAUGGGCGCAAGCCUGAUGCAGCAACGCCGCGUGCGGGAUGACGGCCUUCGGGUUGUAAACCGCUUUCAGCAGGGACGAAGCUUUUUGUGACGGUACCUGCAGAAGAAGCACCGGCUAACUACGUG